AGACAAACUUGUAGGUGUCCCCUGUGCCCAUGGAUUAAACAGGACUGGCUACCUCAUUGGCAGAACGUUUUCACAGAAUCCAGAUCUUUACCAGAGAGGCCAUAUCCCUCCUCCUGGUCCCCCUGGAGAAGGUUAUUCACACAGGAGGUACACUUGGAAUGUGAAGCCAAGUGCCAGUCGAGCAGCCCAGGAGAGAAGAAGGUGAUAUCCUGACAAUUACUCUGGACUAUCCUGUCCAGCCUAUUGGCAAUGGACCCAGUGAUACAAAGCUGUCCUGGAAUUCCACUUGGAGACCAGAGCUGACCUGAAGAUUACAGGACUUGGAGAAUUCUGAAGUUUGUGCCAGACAAAAUAUCUGGCUUGGAGAUUGCAAUCCCAGGGAAGUAUCCAUCCCCAGGGAAGU
This is a non-coding RNA of Saimiri boliviensis boliviensis (Bolivian squirrel monkey), 403 nucleotides long. Lineage: Eukaryota; Metazoa; Chordata; Mammalia; Primates; Cebidae. The record is from RefSeq and is a predicted model, not a curated record.